CCCUUAGAUGUCCUGGGCUGCACGCGCGCUACACUGAUGUGUCCAGUAAGCACCUAACCUAUUCCGAGAGGAGCGGGUAAUCUUAGCAAAGCACAUCGUGAUGGGGAUAGAUUAUUGCAAUUAUUAGUCUUGAACGAGGAAUUCCUAGUAAGCACAAGUCAUCAGCUUGUGUUGAUUACGUCCCUGCCCUUUGUACACACCGCCCGUCGCUCCUACCGAUUGAAUGUUCCGGUGAGCUCUUCGGACUGCGCGGUCUGCAGUUUCUGCGUUCCGUGCGGAAAGUUGUGCAAACCUUAACAUUUAGAGGAAGGAGAAGUCGUAACA
RNAcentral lists this ribosomal RNA (324 nucleotides) under uncultured eukaryote. RNAcentral's name for it is "partial 18S ribosomal RNA". It matches the Rfam family "Eukaryotic small subunit ribosomal RNA", at positions 1470 to 1796 of the family's 1831-position model. The record is from RNAcentral.